AUGGCGAAUGCGAGAGCUCGACCCACCAUAGCCAUGGCCAUCGUCCUCCUCGCCACGCUCUCGGCCUCCCACACCGCGUCAUGCCUGGUUCGGCCGCACGACGUCGUCGGCUGCCAGCCCAGCGGGUACCUCCCGGGCAGGUCCGGGCACUGCGAGACGAGCAACAGCCCGGACUGCUGCGUCGACGGCAAGCAGUACCUGCAGUUCCUCUGCUCGCCGCCCGUCUCCUCCGCCACCUGGGCCGUCCUCACGGUCAACGGCUUCGGCAAGGGCAAGGACGGCGGCCUCCCAUCCGAGUGCGACGGCGCGUACCACGACGACUCGGAGAUGGUCGUCGCGCUCUCCACCGGCUGGUUCAGCGGCAUGUCCCGCUGCGGCCGCAGCAUCAAGAUCACGGCGAAGGGCGGCAGCUCCAUGCACGCCAAGGUGGUGGACGAGUGCGACUCCGUCCACGGUUGCGACGCCGAGCACAACUACGAAGAGCCAUGCGCCUACAACGUCGUGGACGCCUCGCCGGCAGUGUGGGACGCCCUAGGCCUCGACCAUAUCAUCGGUUUGCAGGAUGUCACCUGGUCUGAUGAGUAA
This 585-nucleotide ribosomal RNA is filed under the name Triticum aestivum (bread wheat). RNAcentral's name for it is "partial small subunit ribosomal RNA". The record is from RNAcentral. Lineage: Eukaryota; Viridiplantae; Streptophyta; Magnoliopsida; Poales; Poaceae.